CCUAUAUGUAAGAGACUCAAAAGAAGUUUAAUUUUGUAAUGGUGAAGCAACUUCCUUGAAUGGACCAGCUGAUUUUAAAACACAGAGAGAGAUACAUAGGCGAGCAAAGAAAGACAAGGAAAAUGUUUCAAAAGCAAAUCAGGCAAUUACAAGAGAGAAGAGAACUAAUGAACAUAGAGAGAUAUUUACUAGAUGUGAAUCCCCAAACCCAGGACCAGUCAAACAAAAAGCCACUAAAAGAAGCAAGCAAUUGAUUAUCCAAACUAUCCACAUCCUCUAUCGUCUGCCUGUUACUCUCCCUCCAAGUACAGCACAUCAAACACAAUGGAACUAAAACCCAGAUGUCUGAAGAAUGCUUCCCCAACCAAUCCCACCAACCAAAAAUAAAAGAGCAGGUAUCGUCUUUGUCCAGUGCAUUCUGAUUGUUGUUCUUUAGAAUUUCAAAUGAGUUAUUACAAAUUUAAUGAAUCUCAAAGAGAACAAACUGUGUUAAAGAGGCUGAAGCAGGGUGAGAUUGUGGCAUUGAUAACUGAUGCGGGGACACUGUGCAUUAGUGAUCCUGGUAUGGAUUUGCAAUUGGAUUCCUAAACAUGCUAGAUCAAGAAGAGAGAGACUGAUGGUUUCUGCAAAUGAGUUGGUGACUCAAAUAUUUUAUGUUCCUCCACACAAGCUUCAUCAGUUUCUUAAAGAAAUUUCUUUGCAUUUCAGUGACUCUAGGUAAAUUCCUUAUCCACCUAAAUGUACAUAUAUCCUAUUUGCUACUAUGGAAAUCUCUUUAUCUGUUAUAUAAUAGAUGCAGGAAAACAUAUCAACAGUUUACUGGGAAGUGACAAAAUUGUAAAAUUCUUGCUUAGUCUGUCUGGUUGGUAAAUUUCUUCUUAACUUGCUUAUUGGCAAUAUGAGCUAUGUUCUUUCUUUUUCCUUUUAGUUUGCCCCUCCUUUUCUUGGAAAUGUCAUAUUUGUUUUAAGGGAGUGCUGGAGAUACACCCAAUGUCACUGGAUCAACAUCAGUAACCUUUUGUUCCUGGGUGAGAAUGGGUAACUUAUUGAUACUAUAGCCUCUUGCUUUUAAUUAAUUCCUAGGUUAUUAAUUAUUGUAUGCAGCCAAAUUUUGGUUUCUUGAUACAAUUAGGAGAUUAUCCUCAGGACUCCUGGUACAAUGAGCAGUUUUACAUCAAUUAGAGGGAGGUGAAAUUAUACGAGCUUUCACUCCUUUGAAGUUCUAAUUAUGGUUCAUUUCAUGUGACGAUGGAUUACAAAAUGAAAUUGUAUUAGUAAAUUCAUGUGUAAUAGCUGAUUUUCUGUGGAUAUUUACUCUUUUAAGUAGAUAUACAGUUCCUUAGAAUCAGCUUUAACAAUUCAUCAUAACAAUUGUAUUGCAGACGAUGUUUCAUAGCUCGAGAGAUGACAAUAUGCACGAAGAGGCCUUUCGUAUAUACCUGGAUAAACUUUUCAAUCAGUAUGUCACAAUUGUUUGCUCCUUAACUUCCAUUCUGGCUUUGGGGGAGGUCAUUCUACAAGCAAUAUGCACAAGAUAUGGACUUACUAUCAGGGCCAAGUUCAUAUGGCUUGUGAGAGUUUUAAUGAUAAUUUUCUAUCCUAUAGCUUGGGAUUAAAUAUCAGUCCAUGCUUUGUCUGCCAAAAGAGAAUCACAUUGUUGGAGCUCCAUGUGGUGUGAUGGACCAGAUAACUUAAAGCACGUGGUGAAGCCAACACACUUCUUGCAGUGAUGUUCCAGGAAUGCAUAUUAGCUCUGUAGAAAACUACUUGACUACAGUUUUUUCACAGAUCAAAAAAUGAUGUCUAAAUUUGAAUCUAUGCAGCCUGCUGAGAUAUAUCAAAUUGCUUUCUUAGCUAGACAUAAUGACCACAGCCCAGUGCUUUCGUUGGUGCUGAUUAACGUCAUAUGUGCUUACUCUAAGUAGCGAUAACUUAGACUCAUAUUCCUUGUUAUGGCUUUCAAAGCACUUAUAACAUUGGCAACUUCAGAUGAGCAACAUAUGGGAUCUUGGAGAACUAUUGUAUGAGGUAGGCCUCAGAUGGAAAUAAAGCAAUGGAGACUAGUGACAUCUGGAGUAUCAGCCCCUUGUAUUCCUUGAUUUUUGAAAUGCAAUGGGGACAGAUUAAAGAUAGCUUUUGUUGAGGACAUUACACAUAUAGCAGGAUUCAGGCCAAAAAGAAAAGGAAAGACCAAUUAAUUUCACUAUCAAAAGUUUUUGCUUCCAUCAUGCAAAAUUUGUACUAAGCCCAUGGUUUUCAAACCACAUCAAUGUUUCUAAUUCAAUUAUCAUUAUGUUACUCUAAGCUUGGUAAAAUACGUUUGGCUGAUGCUAAUUAAUUUGUAACAGGCUAAUCAUCAUGAAUGAGGUUUGUAGCUUUUAUAUGUCCUACUUAUGGGCAUGCAUGGUCAAGUUGUUUAGCUAGUUUUAUAUGGCCUAAUAAUUAUGGGCAUGUAUGAUCACCAUUUUAGUCA
Long non-coding RNA from Quercus lobata, 2473 nucleotides. RefSeq lists it as uncharacterized. The transcript has 9 exons. NCBI's taxonomy places the organism in Eukaryota, Viridiplantae, Streptophyta, Magnoliopsida, Fagales, Fagaceae. The record is from RefSeq and is a predicted model, not a curated record.